This 254-nucleotide ribosomal RNA is filed under the name uncultured bacterium. RNAcentral's name for it is "partial 16S ribosomal RNA". It matches the Rfam family "Bacterial small subunit ribosomal RNA", at positions 524 to 776 of the family's 1533-position model. The record is from RNAcentral.
UACGUAGGGUGCGAGCGUUAAUCGGAAUUACUGGGCGUAAAGCGUGCGCAGGCGGUGUGUUAAGACCGAUGUGAAAUCCCCGGGCUUAACCUGGGAACUGCAUUGGUGACUGGCAGGCUUUGAGUGUGGCAGAGGGAGGUAGAAUUCCACGUGUAGCAGUGAAAUGCGUAGAGAUGUGGAGGAAUACCGAUGGCGAAGGCAGCCUCCUGGGCCAACACUGACGCUCAUGCACGAAAGCGUGGGGAGCAAACAGG